UGGCGGCAUGCCGUACACAUGCAAGUCGAGCGGCAGCGCGGGGGCAACCCUGGCGGCGAGCGGCGAACGGGUGAGUAAUACAUCGGAACGUGUCCAGUAGCGGGGGAUAACCUGUCGAAAGAUAGGCUAAUACCGCAUACGAUCUACGGAUGAAAGCGGGGAACCGCAAGGCCUCGCACUGUUGGAGCGGCCGAUGUCGGAUUAGCUAGCUGGCGGGGUAAAAGCCCACCAAGGCGACGAUCCGUAGCUGGUCUGAGAGGACGACCAGCCACACUGGAACUGAGACACGGUCCAGACUCCUACGGGAGGCAGCAGUGGGGAAUUUUGGGCAAUGGGCGCAAGCCUGAUCCAGCAAUGCCGCGUGCAGGAUGAAGGCCUUCGGGUUGUAAACUGCUUUUGUACGGAACGAAACGGUCUGCCCUAAUACGGUGGGCUAAUGACGGUACCGUAAGAAUAAGCACCGGCUAACUACGUGCCAGCAGCCGCGGUAAUACGUAGGGUGCAAGCGUUAAUCGGAAUUACUGGGCGUAAAGCGUGCGCAGACGGUUUUGUAAGUUUGUCGUGAAAGCCCCGGGCUCAACCUGGGAAUUGCGAUGAAGACUGCAAGGCUUGAAUCUGGCAGAGGGGGGUAGAAUUCCACGUGUAGCAGUGAAAUGCGUAGAGAUGUGGAGGAACACCGAUGGCGAAGGCAGCCCCCUGGGUCAAGAUUGACGCUCAUGCACGAAAGCGUGGGGAGCA
RNAcentral lists this ribosomal RNA (738 nucleotides) under uncultured soil bacterium. RNAcentral's name for it is "bacterial SSU rRNA". It matches the Rfam family "Bacterial small subunit ribosomal RNA", at positions 37 to 770 of the family's 1533-position model. The record is from RNAcentral.